GUUUAGCCCUGAUUGAAGCAUUUGUUUGAGCUCUUUUUUAUUAUUUUUCUUAAUAAAAAAAGCGAGUGCGUAAAGCAGGAAAUAGC
Polaribacter sp. is the source of this 86-nucleotide small RNA. It matches the Rfam family "Flavo-1 RNA". The record is from Rfam. NCBI's taxonomy places the organism in Bacteria, Pseudomonadati, Bacteroidota, Flavobacteriia, Flavobacteriales, Flavobacteriaceae.